GAUUAACGCUGGCGGCGUGCAUAACACAUUCAAGUCGAACAGGUGUAGAAAUACAUCAGUGGCGGACGGGUGAGUAACGCGUGAGCAAUCUACCUUCCAGUACGGAAUAACAACCGGAAACAGUUGCUAAUACCGCAUAAUGCAUUGGAUUCGCAUGUUUCUGAUGCCAAAGAUUUUAUCGCUGAAAGAUGAGCUCGCGUCUGAUUAGCUAGUUGGCGGGGUAACGGCCCACCAAGGCGACGAUCAGUAGCCGGACUGAGAGGUUGAACGGCCACAUUGGGACUGAGACACGGCCCAG
RNAcentral lists this ribosomal RNA (298 nucleotides) under uncultured bacterium. Its description in RNAcentral is "partial 16S ribosomal RNA". It matches the Rfam family "Bacterial small subunit ribosomal RNA", at positions 28 to 334 of the family's 1533-position model. The record is from RNAcentral.